CCUACGGGUGGCUGCAGUGGGGGAUAUUGCACAAUGGGGGAAACCCUGAUGCAGCGACGCCGCGUGUGGGAAGACGGUCCUCUGGAUUGUAAACCACUGUCCCCAGGGACGAAGAUGAGGGGACCUGGGGAGGAAGCGCGGGCUAACUACGUGCCAGCAGCCGCGGUAAAACGGUGGGAGCAAGCGUUGUCCGGAAUUCCUGGGUGUAAAGGGAGCGUAGGGGGGCUGGCAAGUUGGGUGUUAAAUCUACCGGCUCAACUGGUAGUCGCACUCAAAACUGCUAUUCUUGAGUGAAGUAGAGGCCGGCGGCAUUCCUCGUGUAGCGGUGAAAUUCGUAGAUAUUAGGAGGAACACCAGUGGCGACGGCGGCCUGCUGGGCUUUUACUGACGCUGAGGCUCGAAAGUGUGGGGAGCAAACAGGAUUAGAUACCCUUGUAGUC
This 440-nucleotide ribosomal RNA is filed under the name uncultured bacterium. Its description in RNAcentral is "partial 16S ribosomal RNA". It matches the Rfam family "Bacterial small subunit ribosomal RNA", at positions 338 to 795 of the family's 1533-position model. The record is from RNAcentral.